This 79-nucleotide transfer RNA is filed under the name Tilletia horrida. RNAcentral describes it as "tRNA-Ile". It matches the Rfam family "tRNA". From Rfam's summary of the family: Transfer RNA (tRNA) molecules are approximately 80 nucleotides in length. Their secondary structure includes four short double-helical elements and three loops (D, anti-codon, and T loops). The record is from RNAcentral. Lineage: Eukaryota; Fungi; Basidiomycota; Exobasidiomycetes; Tilletiales; Tilletiaceae.
GGUCGAUUAGCUCAGUUGGUUAGAGCGUGGAGCUAAUAUGAUCACUCCAAGGUCGCGGGUUCGACCCCCUCAUUGACCA